CUACGGGACGCUGCAGUGGGGAAUAUUGGACAAUGGGGGAAACCCUGAUCCAGCAAUGCCGCGUGUGUGAAGAAGGCCUGCGGGUUGUAAAGCACUUUCGGUUGGGAGGACUGCUUCUAGCACUAAUAUUGUUGGAAGUUGACGUUACCUUCAGAAGAAGCACCGGCUAACUCCGUGCCAGCAGCCGCGGUAAUACGGAGGGUGCAAGCGUGAAUCGGAAUUACUGGGCGUAAAGCGCGCGUAGGCGGCUAGAUCAGUCGGGUGUGAAAGCCCCGGGCUUAACCUGGGAACUGCAUCCGAUACUGUCUAGCUUGAGUACAGGAGAGGCGAGUGGAAUUCCACAUGUAGCGGUGAAAUGCGUAGAUAUGUGGAGGAACACCAAUGGCGAAGGCAGCUCUCUGGCCUGAUACUGACGCAGAGGUGCGAAAGCGUGGGGAGCAAACAGGAUUAGAUACCCCGGUAGUC
RNAcentral lists this ribosomal RNA (465 nucleotides) under uncultured bacterium. RNAcentral describes it as "partial 16S ribosomal RNA". It matches the Rfam family "Bacterial small subunit ribosomal RNA", at positions 339 to 795 of the family's 1533-position model. The record is from RNAcentral.